GUGUCCAGCUGUGGCGCUGGUGCCCCGGUGCCCCUAAUGAAGCCUGCUGCUGUGGUUGGUAGAUGUAGACGGCUGGGGUGCUGGCAUCUCAGUGCUGGGUACCUGAAGCUACCUGAGCUGGAUGGCGGGGUGCUGACCACUUGAUGUGGUUGUCCUGUGUGAUGUAGGCUGCUGGUGCGGUCAACCCCAAUAGAGAUGGAGGCCUACGUGACCGUAGAUGUCGCGAGUCCAUCCAAAUAAUUCAGCGUCUGAUGGGGAUAGCAACUUGCCAACACUUCUUCGAAGAGAGGGAGAGAGGACAUGCAGACAUCCUUUCAUGUUGCUGAUGACAGACCACAGGACAUUCACUGUGCCGAAGAGAGGAGGAAAGGACGUUCUGAAUGGAGCUUCUUGCUUCCUUUUUAGGAUCUUUUUCCUCCAGCUACAACAACUCAAGUUUCCCGAAGCUUUUCAACCAUCCUACAAGCAAUGCAGUAUAUUGGCCCCUUAAGUCAGCUGCAGGGCUUAUUAAGUGAAAUUACUCAGUGUUGAACAAGAGUAAACACACUGAGAGAAA
Molecule: long non-coding RNA, 556 nt
Organism: Micropterus dolomieu (smallmouth bass)
Lineage: Eukaryota; Metazoa; Chordata; Actinopteri; Centrarchiformes; Centrarchidae
Exons: 2
Source: RefSeq, a predicted model, not a curated record